RNAcentral lists this ribosomal RNA (862 nucleotides) under Pediococcus pentosaceus. RNAcentral's name for it is "bacterial SSU rRNA". It matches the Rfam family "Bacterial small subunit ribosomal RNA", at positions 49 to 866 of the family's 1533-position model. Lineage: Bacteria; Bacillati; Bacillota; Bacilli; Lactobacillales; Lactobacillaceae. The record is from RNAcentral.
CUAUACAUGCAGUCGAACGAACUUCCGUUGAUUGAUUAUGACGUACUUGUACUGAUUGAGAUUUUAACACGAAGUGAGUGGCGAACGGGUGAGUAACACGUGGGUAACCUGCCCAGAAGUAGGGGAUAACACCUGGAAACAGAUGCUAAUACCGUAUAACAGAGAAAACCGCAUGGUUUUCUUUUAAAAGAUGGCUCUGCUAUCACUUCUGGAUGGACCCGCGGCGUAUUAGCUAGUUGGUGAGGUAAAGGCUCACCAAGGCAGUGAUACGUAGCCGACCUGAGAGGGUAAUCGGCCACAUUGGGACUGAGACACGGCCCAGACUCCUACGGGAGGCAGCAGUAGGGAAUCUUCCACAAUGGACGCAAGUCUGAUGGAGCAACGCCGCGUGAGUGAAGAAGGGUUUCGGCUCGUAAAGCUCUGUUGUUAAAGAAGAACGUGGGUAAGAGUAACUGUUUACCCAGUGACGGUAUUUAACCAGAAAGCCACGGCUAACUACGUGCCAGCAGCCGCGGUAAUACGUAGGUGGCAAGCGUUAUCCGGAUUUAUUGGGCGUAAAGCGAGCGCAGGCGGUCUUUUAAGUCUAAUGUGAAAGCCUUCGGCUCAACCGAAGAAGUGCAUUGGAAACUGGGAGACUUGAGUGCAGAAGAGGACAGUGGAACUCCAUGUGUAGCGGUGAAAUGCGUAGAUAUAUGGAAGAACACCAGUGGCGAAGGCGGCUGUCUGGUCUGCAACUGACGCUGAGGCUCGAAAGCAUGGGUAGCGAACAGGAUUAGAUACCCUGGUAGUCCAUGCCGUAAACGAUGAUUACUAAGUGUUGGAGGGUUUCCGCCCUUCAGUGCUGCAGCUAACGCAUUAAGUA